This 237-nucleotide long non-coding RNA is filed under the name Elaeis guineensis (African oil palm). RNAcentral's name for it is "long non-coding RNA (EGUI_LNC049673)". The record is from RNAcentral. Lineage: Eukaryota; Viridiplantae; Streptophyta; Magnoliopsida; Arecales; Arecaceae.
GGUGCCAACAUAGGAGAGAGUAUGGGAAUUCUUAUCUGAUGUAAUCAAAUGAUAUCACUCCACCAAUCAGAAUUUUUUCAGAAUUUAUUGGAAUUUUCUGAUUGGUCGAAUGAUGUGGCACUGCGCAGCAUACAGGAUCUAUAUAAACCCUGUUGCACCUAGGGUUUCGAGAUAGAACUUGUUUUAUGCAAAAAACCCAUUAGCUGCUGUCUCCUCCCCUCUUAUCUAAUCCUCCCU